UACGUAGGGGGCGAGCGUUGUCCGGAUUUAUUGGGCGUAAAGAGCGUGUAGGCGGCCAGGUAGGUCCGUUGUGAAAACUCGAGGCUCAACCUCGAGACGCCGGUGGAAACCAUCUAGCUAGAGUCCGGAAGAGGAGAGUGGAAUUCCUGGUGUAGCGGUGAAAUGCGCAGAUAUCAGGAAGAACACCCGUGGCGAAGGCGGCUCUCUGGGACGUGACUGACGCUGAGACGCGAAAGCGUGGGGAGCGAACAGG
Molecule: ribosomal RNA, 253 nt
Filed under: uncultured bacterium
Lineage: Bacteria
Description: partial 16S ribosomal RNA
Rfam family: Bacterial small subunit ribosomal RNA
Source: RNAcentral